ACGGGUGAGUAACGCGUGGGUAAUCUACCUUUGUCUGGGGGAUAACCUACCGAAAGGUGGGCUAAUACCGCAUAACGUGAUCGGAUUGCGAUUUGAUCACUAAAGAAGGCCUCUCCCUGGAAGCUUUCGGGUAAAGAUGAGCCCGCGUCCCAUUAGCUAGUUGGUAAGGUAAAGGCUUACCAAGGCGACGAUGGGUAGCUGGUCUGAGAGGAUGGCCAGCCACACUGGAACUGGAACACGGUCCAGACUCCUACGGGAGGCAGCAGUGAGGAAUCUUGCGCAAUGGGGGCAACCCUGACGCAGCAACGCCGCGUGAGUGAAGAAGGCCUUCGGGUCGUAAAGCUCUGUCAAGUGGGAAGAAUAGCCUGAAGACGAAUAAUCUUUGGGUAUGACGGUACCACUGGAGGAAGCACCGGCUAACUCCGUGCCAGCAGCCGCGGUAAUACGGAGGGUGCAAGCGUUAUUCGGAAUUAUUGGGCGUAAAGGGCGUGUAGGCGGCCAGAUAAGUCAGAUGUGAAAGCCCAGGGCUCAACCCUGGAAGUGCAUUUGAAACUAUUUGGCUUGAGUGCGGGAGAGGAAAGC
RNAcentral lists this ribosomal RNA (582 nucleotides) under uncultured bacterium. RNAcentral describes it as "bacterial SSU rRNA". It matches the Rfam family "Bacterial small subunit ribosomal RNA", at positions 102 to 662 of the family's 1533-position model. The record is from RNAcentral.